UACAGAGGUCCCGAGCGUUGUUCGGAUUCACUGGGCGUAAAGGGUGCGUAGGUGGCUUGACAAGUUUGAUGUGAAAUCUCCGGGCUUAACCCUGGAAUUGCCUUUAAGACUGCAUCGCUAGAAUCGUGGAGAGGUGAGUGGAAUUCCGAGUGUAGAGGUGAAAUUCGUAGAUAUUCGGAAGAACACCAGUGGCGAAGGCGACUCACUGGACACGUAUUGACGCUGAGGUGCGAAAGCGUGGGGAGCAAACAGG
RNAcentral lists this ribosomal RNA (253 nucleotides) under uncultured bacterium. Its description in RNAcentral is "partial 16S ribosomal RNA". It matches the Rfam family "Bacterial small subunit ribosomal RNA", at positions 524 to 776 of the family's 1533-position model. The record is from RNAcentral.